ACUCCUACGGGAGGCAGCAGUGGGGAAUAUUGGACAAUGGGGGAAACCCGUGAUCCAGCAAUGCCGCGUGAGUGAUGAAGGCCUUAGGGUUGUAAAGCUCUUUUACCAGGGAUGAUAAUGACAGUACCUGGAGAAUAAGCUCCGGCUAACUCCGUGCCAGCAGCCGCGGUAAUACGGAGGGAGCUAGCGUUGUUCGGAAUUACUGGGCGUAAAGCGCACGUAGGCGGUUACUCAAGUCAGAGGUGAAAGCCCGGGGCUCAACCCCGGAACUGCCUUGAAACUAGGUAACUAGAAUCCUGGAGAGGUGAGUGGAAUUCCGAGUGUAGAGGUGAAAUUCGUAGAUAUUCGGAAGAACACCAGUGGCGAAGGCGGCUCACUGGACAGGUAUUGACGCUGAGGUGCGAAAGCGUGGGAGCAAACAGGAUUAGAUACCCGUGGUAGCGACU
RNAcentral lists this ribosomal RNA (446 nucleotides) under uncultured bacterium. RNAcentral's name for it is "bacterial SSU rRNA". It matches the Rfam family "Bacterial small subunit ribosomal RNA", at positions 335 to 797 of the family's 1533-position model. The record is from RNAcentral.